Molecule: non-coding RNA, 22 nt
Filed under: Arabidopsis thaliana (thale cress)
Lineage: Eukaryota; Viridiplantae; Streptophyta; Magnoliopsida; Brassicales; Brassicaceae
Source: RNAcentral
CCCAUUUAGGUUAGUUUGGUGU